ACCCAGACCAGUUACCAAAAGCCACAUUAUCUUAACUUACAUACUCACCUGUAAAUGGAGAAUUUGUGUGGAUUCUGUGUCCAAAUGUCCAAGAAAAUGUCAAAUAUUAUCCACUUAUGCAAAGAUUUUGAUAAAAGGAGUUUACUUGUGAUUUAUUUGUGUUGAUUUGUCAUACUGUUGGUUAGGGGUCCUCUUUCUCAUUUUAAGAUGUUCUUUUCCCACGUCUAUAGGCACAUUAGAAAUUGCUAGCAAUCACUCCUAGAGUGGUGAGGGAUCUAUCUUCCUGUUGUCAAUGUUAAAUUGAUGUUUACAUUUAAAUGGUAGCACAUUCCACGUACUUACUUUAUCUUUGUCGUAGAACACACAUAACCCAGCGUUUAUAGAUACCAAAAUAUACUACGCAGUCCUAAGCUACAGUCUAUAUAAUACAUUAGCUUGCACCGAUUCUUUAGCCACCUCAAAAGGCUGUAACUUCAGAAAAACUUGUAUGGUUAAUCGCCAAGAUAUUAAAUGGUGUCGUGAAUGCUGAUACAGAUCAGAACUACACCAAUAUUUCUAUGAUGUUAGCAAUACAUGAAUUGAAACAUAAAAACUUUCAAGAGGCUUCAGCCUCUAAACAUGUAAUUAAAAGUUAAUUGCAAGUUGCAGUUUGGAAAUCAAACUGAGAUGCAUAUUUACAUCCUGAUUCAGUUCACGUACAACAAUAACGGAGCGAGCUUGUAGGCUUUAUUCUGCAGAUCAAAGAGCGAUUUCCCCAUUCAUUUGAAAGAGUCUUUUAGUUUAGAACAGAGGCAUUCUAGGACGACUACAUGUGCAUCAGUAAAUUACAUACCAUCAGUUAAUUCGACACCCUUGUCUAAGUGACACCUACACUCUCUUGGACUGUACAUUUUAGUAAUAAACUUGAUAAUUAACUCAUAUAUAAUUAAUAAUAUAUUGCUUUCAUCCCGUCCUUAUCUAUGGAUUAUAGAAUGUUAUAUGAAAAAAGUUAAUUACAUAUGAAGGUGGAAUAAGGCCCUUUAAUUGAUUCUAUGUGUCUGACAGCUUUAUUCUGUAAUUAUAUAUAAUUAGGAGAACAAAUCAAUCAUCUUUAGGAAAGUUAAGCACAAUACUAAAUUACUAAUGAUAGGCUAAUCAUUUGUUCUUUAAUUUUGACACUUCGCAUUUGACUCAUUUAACUCUGGGAAAUGUUUGAUUACCUAAAAUUGUAUACAUUCUUAGAACAAAGUACAGUUUCACUUUUAUUUUGUGCAGCCAAUGAGAUCUCUUUAGUAUUUUUAAUUUAUACCAGAGAAUAAAUCCUUUCAAGAAACAAAAUAAUAAUAUUUUAGUUAUAUGCCAUUUAAGAUUUUAUCUAAGAGUUUCUCUCAGAGAUGCUUCAACUAUACAUAGUUCUGAUAAUUAAUCAAUUGCCAAAAAAAUAAAAACCAUACCUAUGAUUUGCUGUCUCAGUAUUUAAAAAAAGAAAGCCCACUUUAAAAUCCAACACUUUUAUUUGCCUUUAAAUGAAGAAUGAGAUAUUUGUAAGAACCAACUUUGUGAAAAACACGCUUCUGAACUUUAGUUUCUUACGGUGACAAAUAGAAGGGUAGGACAAUGUGUGUUUUUGAUUAAUGAAGGAAUUAGAAUUUGGCUUUUUCUAAGUGUUGAACAUACUUCACAUGGUGUUGUAUAAUAGCAUACUUUUGUUUCAUAAGUGAUGAAAGAAUUUCCUCCUUUCUUUCUGGUAGGGGCUGCCUCUAUCCCUCAUGUUAUCCCUGUAUAUGAUUCUGGUUCUGAUAAUAUCUCAAGCUCUAGGGCAUUAAAGGGAAGCAUGUUGCAAAAGCUGGUCGGGCUGGGGCUAUAAUUGUUCCCUGCAUCAACUUUAUGGGGACAAACAUGCAUGGACACAAUCUAAUGGAAGCUGAUUUGGCAUCUACGUGGCACCUCACACUGGACAAUCAUAAAUCCAAAUUGUUUGCCAGGGAAGCAGUUUCUUAUCCUGGGCUUUGCUACAGAAGCUGUAGUCAAAGUUAAGAAUACCGAAUCUUGGCAUGGGAGAAGCCACAAAAUGGAAAGAAAGUGGUGUCUGAGAAAAUGGUCCGAGCUUGGGACCAAGGAAGGUGACAAUGGAUAGAACAUUGGGUUAGGGAGGAUAGAAUAUUGAUGCCGUAAAGGCAUACAGAAACACAUCUCUACUCGUGAAUGCAGCCCCCAUCCUCCAAUUACUUGGUUUUUCACCAACUUUUUAUAUCCUUUGUUGUGUUCUCGCAAUACAUUGAACAUUUCUUACCUUUUUGUGUCCAACACCAACUUGAUAUUUACGAAUAAAGUUUCCCUAGAGGCGAUAGUGCUUUUGUUUGA
Daucus carota subsp. sativus is the source of this 2343-nucleotide long non-coding RNA. RefSeq lists it as uncharacterized. The record is from RefSeq and is a predicted model, not a curated record. The transcript has 2 exons. Lineage: Eukaryota; Viridiplantae; Streptophyta; Magnoliopsida; Apiales; Apiaceae.